GGAGAGGAGAGGAGGACAGGAGAGGAGGUGGAGGUCAAGCGUCAACCUUCUCUAUUAAAAGAGAGGAGAGGAGGAGAGAUGAAAGGAGAGGAGGUGGAGGGCAAGUGUGAACCUUUUCUUUAAAAAGAGAGGAGAGGAAGAGAGGAGAGGAGGAGAGAGGAGGAGGAGGUCCAGUGUGAACCUUCUCUUGCAAAAGAGAGGAGAGGAGGAGAGAGGAGGAGAGAUAAGAGGAGAGGAGAGGAGAGAGGAAAAGAGAGGAGAGGAGGAGAUUUGGUUUUCAAAGUCGCUUGAUUGAACCAUUGCAGGGAGACACCAGAUCACUGUCACAUCAUCAGUUCAGACUAGCAAAAACAACUCAUCCAAGAGCAGAAAAAAGUUUUAACUUAUCAGGAAUUAACGAUCAACUCUCCCUCCUCCACGGGGGAGUAAACCCCCCCCAACAGCUGGGAAACAUCUGGACCAAAGAACUCAGUCCACCUUGACUCCUUCAUCUCUGCUAAAGAGAGCAAGUUCAGAACCUUAAUUGAAAAUAAAACAUGUUUUUAAAGUCAUUGUUAGCUCUGUAAUGGUGUUAUUCAGUGAAAUAAA
This is a long non-coding RNA of Anoplopoma fimbria (sablefish), 588 nucleotides long. RefSeq lists it as uncharacterized. NCBI's taxonomy places the organism in Eukaryota, Metazoa, Chordata, Actinopteri, Perciformes, Anoplopomatidae. The record is from RefSeq and is a predicted model, not a curated record. The transcript is spliced from 4 exons.